CUGGGUCAAACUACUCUCGCCCUUAGACGGACCGAAUCCUGCUCAACUUGGGCCGAAGUAAGUGAAGAAAAUAUCAGAAAAAAAUAAAGUAAAAUCAAUUGGACUUGUCUAUUUUUUUUAAAAAAAAAACGGCAGGAGAGUUGCCGAAAUUUUUAUUAGAAGGUUGAUCUAAUUGAAGAAAAAUUGUGCUGACUUGCCGAGGCAGGCCCAUCCACCAAUCAUCGAUCCAUAAUUAGGUCCCUGAUAAAUGAAUUAAGAGGAGGUAGAACUACUUUUUUUUUCUUCUUCACCCGUUCUAACUUGUCUGAGUUCUGUAGCAACUAGCAAGGAACCAGAACAACAAAGAGUCGUCGCAAUAUGAUUUUGGCUUCUGUGAAUUCAAUUCUAAUAACUUCUCUAAAUUGUUCUAGCUACUGUAGGUCAGUGCGCGUCAUAGCUUGAGUUAAUAGACGCACAGGGUCGUCAAUCCUCUUGCCAACAGUACUCGAUAUACUCCAUGCAUUCACAAAAAAAAAGAUGCAAGUUCAGGUUAUUUGGUUGAGACAAACGAUUUAAAGUUCAGGUUACCGGCAGCACGGCACGGGCGGCGGCCCCUCCUGACGUGUGAGCAACCGCGCACUAUCAUAGUAGGGAUGAUGAGCAGCUAGCAGCAAGCAUGCUCCCGGCGCAGCUCCUGCCCCCGGA
Molecule: long non-coding RNA, 684 nt
Filed under: Zea mays
Lineage: Eukaryota; Viridiplantae; Streptophyta; Magnoliopsida; Poales; Poaceae
Description: drought responsive lncRNA
Source: RNAcentral